Molecule: ribosomal RNA, 447 nt
Filed under: uncultured bacterium
Lineage: Bacteria
Description: SSU rRNA
Rfam family: Bacterial small subunit ribosomal RNA
Source: RNAcentral
AGAGCGAACGCUGGCGGCAGGCUUAACACAUGCAAGUCGAGCGGGCGUAGCAAUACGUCAGCGGCAGACGGGUGAGUAACGCGUGGGAACAUACCUUUUGGUUCGGAACAACCCAGGGAAACUUGGGCUAAUACCGGAUAAGCCCUUACGGGGAAAGAUUUAUCGCCGAAAGAUUGGCCCGCGUCUGAUUAGCUAGUUGGUGAGGUAACGGCUCACCAAGGCGACGAUCAGUAGCUGGUCUGAGAGGAUGAUCAGCCACAUUGGGACUGAGACACGGCCCAAACUCCUACGGGAGGCAGCAGUGGGAAUAUUGGACAAUGGGCGCAAGCCUGAUCCAGCCAUGCCGCGUGAGUGAUGAAGGCCCUAGGGUUGUAAAGCUCUUUUGUGCGGGAAGAUAAUGACGGUACCGCAAGAAUAAGCCCCGGCUAACUUCGUGCCAGCAGCCGC